AUUUAACUUUGUAUCUGUCGGUUGGUUGGCUGGCUUGCUAAAUUUUCUGGUGUUCCGGUCAGUUUGAGAGACGUCCGUUGACGCUGUUUUAACUAAUUGCGAGUGAUCGAGUGUUGAUCGUGCUGCUUGAGAGUAAAUGAGCGUGCGGGAUAUUUACAUUAACUGAAAUAUUCAAAAAUUUUAGUUGCAAAUAAAUUUGAUAAAAGUAACACCGUGCAAAACAACAUCUGGCAACUGGAUAGCUACGCUUAAAAUUCAUACUGAAUCAUACAACAAGUGUAGUUGAAAACAAAAAUAAUAAAAUAAAAAGAAUUAAAAUUUUCAGCAGCUACAUACAAUUAAUAACAGCCAGCAACAACGAAAUUUGCUCACAUAAUAAACAACAAAAACAAAACAAACCACAGCAGCAGCAACAACAACAACAACAACAGCAGCAACAGCAGCGUAACCGAUUGUGCAGAAAAUUAUCUACCGGUGUUGUACGCGCUACGGAAAAAAUAUACAAA
This is a long non-coding RNA of Rhagoletis pomonella (apple maggot), 506 nucleotides long. RefSeq lists it as uncharacterized. Lineage: Eukaryota; Metazoa; Arthropoda; Insecta; Diptera; Tephritidae. The transcript is spliced from 2 exons. The record is from RefSeq and is a predicted model, not a curated record.